GACGAACGCUGGCGGCGUGCUUAACACAUGCAAGUCGAACGAUGAAGCCGGAGCUUGCUCCGGUGGAUUAGUGGCGAACGGGUGAGUAACACGUGAGCAAUCUGCCCUUGACUCUGGGAUAACUGCGGGAAACUGUAGCUAAUACCGGAUACGACACCUUGGGGCAUCCCAGGGUGUGGAAAGAAUUUCGGUCAAGGAUGAGCUCGCGGCCUAUCAGCUAGUUGGUGAGGUAAUGGCUCACCAAGGCGACGACGGGUAGCCGGCCUGAGAGGGUGAACGGCCACCGUGGAACUGAGACACGGUCCAGACUCCUACGGGAGGCAGCAGUGGGGAAUAUUGCACAAUGGGCGAAAGCCUGAUGCAGCAACGCCGCGUGAGGGAUGAAGGCCUUCGGGUUGUAAACCUCUUUUAGCAGGGAAGAAGCGAAAGUGACGGUACCUGCAGAAAAAGCACCGGCUAACUACGUGCCAGCCGCCGCCGUAA
This 483-nucleotide ribosomal RNA is filed under the name uncultured bacterium. Its description in RNAcentral is "partial 16S ribosomal RNA". It matches the Rfam family "Bacterial small subunit ribosomal RNA", at positions 28 to 523 of the family's 1533-position model. The record is from RNAcentral.